CCCUGUGCUGGGUAAAAGAGAGAAAAUGAGGAACAAAAAGCACACCCAGAAUCUGAAACUAAAAUUAACUUUUUCCAGCAAUGUCCUAUUGUGUCCGGAAUUGGUGGGUUCUUGGUCUCACUGACUUCAAGAAUGAAGCCGCGGACCCUCGCG
RNAcentral lists this long non-coding RNA (153 nucleotides) under Pan troglodytes (chimpanzee). RNAcentral's name for it is "lincRNA". The record is from RNAcentral. Lineage: Eukaryota; Metazoa; Chordata; Mammalia; Primates; Hominidae.